GGGAGGCCAUGUCUAUAGUCAGAUGGCACACCUUCAGGGGCAGAGGAGACGGGCAGUAGACUAUUCCCAAAAUUUAAGAGAAGAGUUUUUAUUUAGGAAUGCUGAUACUGCAUCCUAGGCCACCACUGAUUCACUCAAAAUAUGAGUCUGUACUGUGUGGCAGGGACUUCUUUCUGUAGUGAUCUGGGUUCUAAAAACCUUGACUUUAAUCAGCCAUGCCCACCCAGUUGGAAGGGACAUCUUCCAGCUGCCUUUGCAUAAAUAUGUGGCCAGUGACUAGAACACAGAUAUGGCCAUACAGCCAGCCAGCUUUGACUUUGGAGCAUGAGAGUAAUACCCAACACUGUGGCAAACAAAAGGAGAGAAGAAACCUGGGUCCCUGCAUGACUAUGUGCAGCUUAGCCACCUACCUGCCCUGAACCAGCUUCUUUCCUUUGUUUGAGCCAUUAUAUUCUGAGUUUCUGUUAAAUCAGCUUAUCCUGCAUCCUAAUACAGAGUGU
Long non-coding RNA from Canis lupus familiaris (dog), 500 nucleotides. RefSeq lists it as uncharacterized. The record is from RefSeq and is a predicted model, not a curated record. The transcript is spliced from 3 exons. NCBI's taxonomy places the organism in Eukaryota, Metazoa, Chordata, Mammalia, Carnivora, Canidae.